Molecule: ribosomal RNA, 657 nt
Filed under: Triticum aestivum (bread wheat)
Lineage: Eukaryota; Viridiplantae; Streptophyta; Magnoliopsida; Poales; Poaceae
Description: partial small subunit ribosomal RNA
Source: RNAcentral
AUGAUCAUCCUAGCCUGGAACUGCUGAGGGUUGGGGUUGGACUCGGCUGUGGGUGAUUUAAGGGACCUGGUGAGGUCAUACAACCCAGAGGUGGUAUUUUUGUCGGAAACAAAAAAACGGGCUAGUGCAAUGGAGAGACUAAAGUGGAGCUUGGGUUAUCAACACGGUGUGGCUGUGGACUGUAAAGGAAAAAGUGUAGGCUUGGCUAUGUGGUGGAGGGAUCAUGUGGAUGUUACGGUGAGGCCGUGGUGCCAAUAUUACAUUGAUGCGACGAUAGCAAUCGAUGGUGUCUCCUUCAGGUUCACUGGAAUCUAUGGGGAACCAUGCGUUGAGAAAAGAACAAAAACUUGGGAAGUGCUCCCUUACCUACGUACCCAAGAUGAUCUCCCAUGGCUUUGCGUCGGUGAUUUUAAUGAGACACUGAGACAGAAUGAACAACAAGGUGGCAACCAGAGGAACAUGCAUCAGAUGGUGCUUUUGGAGGACUGUAUGACCGACAGCGGUCUUGCAGACCUGGGGUUUACGGGAUACCCUUUUACUUGGGAUAAUAAGCGUGAUGGGGAGGAGAACAUUCAGGCGAGGCUCGAUCGGGUGAUGAGUAAUGCGGCUUUUGCACAAUUAUAUCCAGAAGUCGAGGUUCAGCACGUGAUGACGUAA